AUUGAACGCUGGCGGCAUGCCUUACACAUGCAAGUCGAACGGCAGCACGGGUGCUUGCACCUGGUGGCGAGUGGCGAACGGGUGAGUAAUACAUCGGAACGUACCUUAUCGUGGGGGAUAACGCAGCGAAAGCUGUGCUAAUACCGCAUACGCCCUGAGGGGGAAAGCGGGGGAUCGAAAGACCUCGCGCGAUUAGAGCGGCCGAUGCCUGAUUAGCUUGGUGGUGGGGUAAAAGCCCACCAAGGCGACGAUCAGUAGCUGGUCGGAGAGGACGAUCAGCCACACUGGGACUGAGACACGGCCCAGACUCCUACGGGAGGCAGCAUUGGGGAAUUUUGGACAAUGGGGGCAACCCUGAUCCAGCAAUGCCGCGUGAGUGAAGAAGGCCUUCGGGUUGUAAAGCUCUUUUGUCAGGGAAGAAACACCGGCUCUAACACAGUCCGGGAAUGACGGUACCUGAAGAAUAAGCACCGGCUAACUACGUGCCAGCCGCCGCGGUAA
Molecule: ribosomal RNA, 501 nt
Filed under: uncultured bacterium
Lineage: Bacteria
Description: partial 16S ribosomal RNA
Rfam family: Bacterial small subunit ribosomal RNA
Source: RNAcentral